AACUUUCAACAACGGAUCUCUUGGCUCUCGCAUCGAUGAAGAACGCAGCGAAAUGCGAUAAGUAAUGUGAAUUGCAGAAUUCAGUGAAUCAUCGAAUCUUUGAACGCACCUUGCGCCCUUUGGUAUUCCGAAGGGCACGCCUGUUUGAGUGUCA
This 154-nucleotide ribosomal RNA is filed under the name Hymenochaete rhabarbarina. RNAcentral describes it as "5.8S ribosomal RNA". It matches the Rfam family "5.8S ribosomal RNA". Rfam says of the family: 5.8S ribosomal RNA (5.8S rRNA) is a component of the large subunit of the eukaryotic ribosome. It is transcribed by RNA polymerase I as part of the 45S precursor that also contains 18S and 28S rRNA. Lineage: Eukaryota; Fungi; Basidiomycota; Agaricomycetes; Hymenochaetales; Hymenochaetaceae. The record is from RNAcentral. RNAcentral also lists the same sequence under 34 other names.